AGAGUUUGAUGCUGGCUCAGGAUGUACGCUGGCGGCGUGGCUAAUACAUGCAAGUCGAGCGAACAGACGAGGAGCUUGCUGCUCUGACGUUAGCGGCGGACGGGUGAGUAACACGUGGAUAAGCUAGCUAUUAGACUGGGAUAACUUCGGGAAAGCGGAGCUAAUAGCGGAUAAUAUAUUGAAGCGCAUGGUUCAAUAGUGUAAGACGGUUUUGCUGUCACUUAUAGAUGGAUGCGCGGCGCAUUAGCUAGUUGGUAAGGUAACGGCUUAGCAAGGCAACGAUGCGUAGGCGAGCUGAGAGGGUGAUCGGGCACACUGGAACUGAGACACGGUGCAGACUGCUACGGGAGGCAGCAGUAGGGAAUCUUGCGCUAUGGGCGAAAGGCUGACGGAGCAACGGCGCGUGAGUGAUGAAGGUCUUCGGAUCGUAAAACUCUGUUAUUAGGGAAGAACUAAUGUGUAAGUAACUAUGCACGUCUUGACGGUAGCUAAUCAGAAAGGCACGGCUAACUACGUGGCAGCAGGCGCGGUAAUACGUAGGUGGCAAGCGUUAUGCGGAAUUAUUGGGCGUAAAGCGCGCGUAGGCGGUUUUUUAAGUCUGAUGUGUAAGGGCACGGCUCAAGCGUGGAGGGUCAUUGGAAACUGGAAAACUUGAGUGCAGAAGAGGUAAGUGGAAUUGCAUGUGUAGCGGUGAAAUGCGCAGAGAUAUGGAGGAACAGCAGUGGCGAAGGCGACUUUCUGGUCUGUUACUGACGCUGAUGUGCGAAAGCGUGGGGAUCAAACAGGAUUAGAUAGCCUGGUAGUGCACGGCGUAAACGAUGAGUGCUUAGUGUUAGGGGGUUUGCGGCGCUUAGUGCUGCAGCUAACGCAUUAAGCACUGCGGCUGGGGAGUACGAGCGCAAGGUUGAAACUCAAAGGAAUUGACGGGGAGGCGCACAAGCGGUGGAGCAUGUGGUUUUAUUCGUAGCAACGCGAAGAACCUUAGCAAAUCUUGACAUGCUCUGAGCGCUCUAGAGAUAGAGUUUUGCGCUUCGGGGGACAGAGUGACAGGUGGUGCAUGGUUGUCGUCAGCUCGUGUCGUGAGAUGUUGGGUUAAGUGGCGCUACGAGCGCAAGCCUUAAGCUUAGUUGGCAUCAUUAAGUUGGGCACUCUAAGUUGACUGGCGGUGACAUAGCGGAGGAAGGUGGGGAUGACGUCAAAUCAUCAUGGCGCUUAUGAUUUGGGCUACACACGUGCUACAAUGGACUAUACAAAGGGCAGCGAAAGCGCGAGGUCAAGCAUAUGGCAUAAAGUUGUUCUCAGUUCGGAUUGUAGUCUGCAACUCGACUAUAUGAAGCUGGAAUCGCUAGUAAUCGUAGAUCAGCAUGCUACGGUGUAUACGUUGGCGGGUCUUGUACACAGCGGCCGUCACAGCACGAGAGUUUGUAACAGCCGAAGGCGGUGGAGUAAGCAUUUGGAGCUAGGCGUCGAAGGUGGGACAAAUGAUUGGGGUGAAGUCGUAACAAGGUAGGCGUAUCGGUAGGUGCGGCUGGAUCAGCUCCUU
RNAcentral lists this ribosomal RNA (1543 nucleotides) under Staphylococcus epidermidis. RNAcentral describes it as "bacterial SSU rRNA". It matches the Rfam family "Bacterial small subunit ribosomal RNA". Lineage: Bacteria; Bacillati; Bacillota; Bacilli; Caryophanales; Staphylococcaceae. The record is from RNAcentral.